GGCAGGAUCUGCGAUGGAAGCGGAGACCAUGAGUGAAGCCGCCAAGAGAGCAGCAGCUGCUGUUAAAGACAGAGCAGGAGCUCCAGCAAAAUACAUUGGAAACAAAAUAGCCAAUGCUAUAUGGGCAAAAAAGCGUACAUAAAUUUGAACAAUUCUCAUUGCCAAUGUUACAGUACUGUUCAUUACAGAAAAUGGCCAGGAUUCAAUCAACAUUUGUUCUCAACUAAAGAUCUAAAAAUUAAAGGCAAUAAUCACACCUGCACCCCAUUCACAAACACACUUCCAGUUCAGCUAAAACUAGCUAAAUGUCAAUUAUGUAUCGACAUCGCUGAGAUUUCUUUCUUAAAAUGAAAGCCGUAUACUAGGGGUGUCCAGAAACAAUACUAUGCGUCUCUGUUCAACCAACAAAAUGAACUGUAUGCGUGUAAUCUUUCACACGAUUGUGCUCCUUGAUAUGGUCUAAUUGUAUUUGAUUCUCUAAAAGCCAAUUUUCUUUUGCUGAACUAAAAGAGUAACAAGGACAUCAUGUAAGUGGUGAUUAAAAUCAUAAAGUUGUCUGUAUUGUGUUCUUUGGAUAUUCUGUAGAAUGCUGUGACUGUUUUGUAAUGAUUUAUUAGUAAUCGAUUUGUUAGUUUCUGUCUUGUUUCUGCAGAGUGGUGAAGGCCCUAGCCAUCACCUCUAUUCUUCUGAUACAAAAUAUAUGAUGAUCUUUGGUCAACUUUCGGGAAGAAAAAAUACAUACAAAGCUGUGCAUCGAGAGCCAGGCCCAGCGC
Anguilla anguilla (European eel) is the source of this 773-nucleotide long non-coding RNA. RefSeq lists it as uncharacterized. The transcript is spliced from 3 exons. Lineage: Eukaryota; Metazoa; Chordata; Actinopteri; Anguilliformes; Anguillidae. The record is from RefSeq and is a predicted model, not a curated record.